This is a long non-coding RNA of Rhododendron vialii, 444 nucleotides long. RefSeq lists it as uncharacterized. The record is from RefSeq and is a predicted model, not a curated record. The transcript is spliced from 2 exons. NCBI's taxonomy places the organism in Eukaryota, Viridiplantae, Streptophyta, Magnoliopsida, Ericales, Ericaceae.
GUUGGCUCAAGCUUGAUUUGCAAAAUGUUCAUUGAACUCGAGUUAAAACUUUGAGCUAGCUAAAAACUUCACAAACGAGCAGCAGCACACUGUGCUUUGUGGGAAUCUCAGAUCCAAACUUUUGACAAUGUAUUGGGCAAAAAGGGAAAAAAAAUCUUUUAUCUUAUUUCACAAUGCUUCAUGUACUGUUUCGUAUUCAACAGAUCUUCGUUCUCUCCCACUCUCUGUUUCAAUAUCUUUACAAUUGCAUCCCUUCGUAUCCGUGUUUCAUUAUCUCACACAAUUACAGGGUGCAUCCGGAAAAGGUAAAAUGCCAAGUUACUUCAAUGGGAACAGGAACCACCAGGUUCUUUGCUGCCACUAGAAGCCAACUGGUAACUAUUUUCCCAGGUGUCUGCAGGAGCUGCUUGUGCAUGAGGGACAUGGCUAGGAUGCUUCUCUCUC